RNAcentral lists this unclassified non-coding RNA (205 nucleotides) under Hevea brasiliensis (rubber tree). Lineage: Eukaryota; Viridiplantae; Streptophyta; Magnoliopsida; Malpighiales; Euphorbiaceae. The record is from RNAcentral.
ACCUUCUUCUUCAGAAUCCCCAUCGCCACCACCUCAAAACCUCCAUUUCCACCCCUCAUUUCAAUGCCUUCCCUCUCCCUUCUCCCUCUCCCAAGCGCUUCUCCAUCUCCUGCGCAGCAGCUUCCACCACUACCCCUCUCGAGCUCCAAAAUCCCCCGCCCUCCCACAAUUCUUCCGACGAUCGUGUCUUCAACUUCGCCGCCGG